UCCUACGGGAGGCAGCAGUGGGGAAUAUUGCACAAUGGGCGCAAGCCUGAUGCAGCCAUGCCGCGUGUGUGAAGAAGGCCUUCGGGUUGUAAAGCACUUUCAGUCGUGAGGAAGGUGGUGUAGUUAAUAGCUGCAUUAUUUGACGUUAGCGACAGAAGAAGCACCGGCUAACUCCGUGCCAGCAGCCGCGAUAAUAAGUACGUGCCCCCCGCCGCGGUAAU
Molecule: ribosomal RNA, 221 nt
Filed under: uncultured Vibrio sp.
Lineage: Bacteria; Pseudomonadati; Pseudomonadota; Gammaproteobacteria; Vibrionales; Vibrionaceae
Description: partial 16S ribosomal RNA
Rfam family: Bacterial small subunit ribosomal RNA
Source: RNAcentral